AUUCAGCUGACGAGUCCCAAACAGAAUGCAAUGCGCAUUCUGGAU
Molecule: non-coding RNA, 45 nt
Organism: Schistosoma mansoni
Lineage: Eukaryota; Metazoa; Platyhelminthes; Trematoda; Strigeidida; Schistosomatidae
Source: Rfam